AGCGUAGACGGCAGGGCAAGUCCGAUGUGAAAACCCGGGGCUCAACCGCGGGAUUGCAUUGGAAACUGCUCGGCUCGAGUACUGGAGGGGUAAGCGGAAUUCCUAGUGUAGCAGUGAAAUGCGUAGAUAUUAGGAGGAACACCGGCGGCGAAGGCGGCUUACUGGACAGUAACUGACGUUGAGGCUCGAAAGCGUGGGGAGCAAACA
RNAcentral lists this ribosomal RNA (207 nucleotides) under uncultured Lachnospiraceae bacterium. RNAcentral's name for it is "partial 16S ribosomal RNA". It matches the Rfam family "Bacterial small subunit ribosomal RNA", at positions 568 to 774 of the family's 1533-position model. The record is from RNAcentral. Lineage: Bacteria; Bacillati; Bacillota; Clostridia; Lachnospirales; Lachnospiraceae.